GAUGAAGAACGCAGUGAAAUGCGAUAAGUAAUGUGAAUUGCAGAAUCCAGUGAAUCAUCGAAUCUUUGAACGCACAUUGCGCCCGCCAGCAUUCUGGCGGGCAUGCCUGUUCGAGCGUCAUUUCAACCCUCGACCUCCCCUUGGGGAGGUCGGCGUUGGGGACCGGCAGCACACCGCCGGCCCUGAAAUGGAGUGGCGGCCCGUCUGCGGCGACCUCUGCGUAGUAAUACAGCUCGCACCGGAACCCCGACGCGGCCACGCCGUAAAACACCCAACUUCUGAACGUUGACCUCGAAUCAGGUAGGACUACCCGCUGAACUUAAGCAUAUCAAUAAGCGGAGGA
RNAcentral lists this unclassified non-coding RNA (343 nucleotides) under soil metagenome. RNAcentral describes it as "partial contains 5.8S ribosomal RNA, internal transcribed spacer 2, and large subunit ribosomal RNA". The stretch from base 1 to 120 matches the Rfam family "5.8S ribosomal RNA", at positions 35 to 154 of the family's 154-position model. The record is from RNAcentral.